UACCUCAAUACCAACUUAAAAGAAUGCAUCAGGGUGAAUAAAUUUUUUUUUAUGUUAUAAGCUAAAGUUACUCAUUCACAAACAAAAAGCACUGGUAUUUCGUAGCACGUUUUCAAAAGCAUUGACGAGUGCUUACGUUUCGGUGUGUUUAAAAGUAGAAGUACUUGAUUCUGCUUUUACAAUGCCGGAUCAGAUGUUUAAAAUUAUUGUUUAGUUUGUGCAUGCAGUAUUUUUUACCAUUGAUAAUCCUCUCAACCUAUAUAACUUGAUUUAUUUUUUUUAAAGUCAGCAAUGCAUUUGUUUAGGAAAAAGAAGAAAGAGAAAGAUCGAGAAAAAGAGAAAAGGAAGGAAAAAGCAAGAAAAAAGAGGAAGGAGAAGUCAAAGAAAAAAAUAAAGACAAGGAAGCAGAGGCUGAUGACCAAGAGCUAAACAGCCUACUCACAAAAAUCUACACGUUUGAAGAAGGUUUUACGAAUUUAUUCAUCUAGAAUUUAGAAAAAGAGCGAAGAGAAAAAGUCGAAAGAUAAAGAAUCAAGUGACGAAUCAUCACAAAAGUUAAAGAAAAAAGAAAGUUUGUGAAUACUUUACACGAACUCGUGUACUGUCACCAAAUAUACAUUCCACAGAUAUUCUCACUUUGCUCAUGGCCUCAUUUAACGGUCUUUGAUUAGUAGUAUAUUCGCAUCCUUAAAGGGCCAUAGUAUUUGUGGACGAAUGAGGUAUGCAGGAUAACCAUAAAUGCACAAUAACUGUUCAUGAGGAGAAUGUGAAUGUUGUAAACUUUGAAGUAAUCUGGAAGUAUUCAAAAGAGCACAAUCGCGUCUCCUACCCUCCGUAGGUCCAUACAAACUUGCAAUUUAACCGUUUAGUCCAACAACGCUUUAAAAUUUAAAAGAAUAUAUCUGUUUAUUGCCAUUGUAUAUAGCUUGUUGACAUCUUUUGGUUCGACAUAUUGGACGGAUAGUUCCAUCAACAAAUAAUCCCCAGCAGAAUUUUACUCAUGACCAGCAUCAGCAUACUCUCUGAGCUUUAUUAAAGCUAAGCAAUUUUUGAGGUCGCGCAAUUUGUACUUAAAAUGCUGAUAAAUCAAAUUUACACGAAUUUUAAAAUCAUACUUAGUUCUAGAACGGAUCUCCCAAAUCGAUGGAUCAUGUCACCAUACCCACAUGGAUAAGCGGUUUUAUAUAUAUCAUACGGUUGUUUUGUUUUGUUUGAAGAUGAGAUUGUAACAGGUACUGGAGAUGAGCAAUAACUUAUUUUGCUACUUCCCUCUCGGAAAAGUCCGCAAAAGUGUAGAAAAUGUAUAGCAAUGCCCACAUGGACAGAGUUUUUGUUGUUUACACAGUUUAACUCAGCAAACGUUUUUGAUUCAGAUAGCGUUGAUCAUCACAUGUCCUGUGAUCGAUGAUGGAACUCACGCAAACGGGCAAAGGUUCCGGCAAGCAAAAAUAACGCGCAGAUCAAAAUAGAAGUCCGUAAAUUCCUGUAUUAUAAUAAGGGAAGCCCUAGGUGCAACGUAAAAGACGAGUGCAUAUUGAAACUGGCGCAAGAUCUAUGCUGAAAUUUGCGCAGGACUGUAUUUACUAUGAUUAAAAUUUACCACAGGCUUUUUAAAAGCGUUGAUCAAAACAUCCGGUGAAGUGUUCAUCUUA
Long non-coding RNA from Hydractinia symbiolongicarpus, 1652 nucleotides. RefSeq lists it as uncharacterized. The record is from RefSeq and is a predicted model, not a curated record. NCBI's taxonomy places the organism in Eukaryota, Metazoa, Cnidaria, Hydrozoa, Anthoathecata, Hydractiniidae. The transcript is spliced from 3 exons.